Molecule: ribosomal RNA, 778 nt
Filed under: Brevibacterium sp. 66
Lineage: Bacteria; Bacillati; Actinomycetota; Actinomycetes; Micrococcales; Brevibacteriaceae
Description: bacterial SSU rRNA
Rfam family: Bacterial small subunit ribosomal RNA
Source: RNAcentral
AUGGAUGAGUGGCGAACGGGUGAGUAACACGUGAGUAACCUGCCCCUGACUUCGGGAUAAGCCCGGGAAACUGGGUCUAAUACCGGAUACGACUGCCGGACGCAUGUCUGGUGGUGGAAAGUUUUUUCGGUUGGGGAUGGGCUCGCGGCCUAUCAGUUUGUUGGUGAGGUAAUGGCUCACCAAGACGACGACGGGUAGCCGGCCUGAGAGGGCGACCGGCCACACUGGGACUGAGACACGGCCCAGACUCCUACGGGAGGCAGCAGUGGGGAAUAUUGCACAAUGGGGGAAACCCUGAUGCAGCGACGCAGCGUGCGGGAUGACGGCCUUCGGGUUGUAAACCGCUUUCAGCAGGGAAGAAGCGCAAGUGACGGUACCUGCAGAAGAAGUACCGGCUAACUACGUGCCAGCAGCCGCGGUAAUACGUAGGGUACGAGCGUUGUCCGGAAUUAUUGGGCGUAAAGAGCUCGUAGGUGGUUGGUCACGUCUGCUGUGGAAACGCAACGCUUAACGUUGCGCGUGCAGUGGGUACGGGCUGACUAGAGUGCAGUAGGGGAGUCUGGAAUUCCUGGUGUAGCGGUGAAAUGCGCAGAUAUCAGGAGGAACACCGGUGGCGAAGGCGGGACUCUGGGCUGUAACUGACACUGAGGAGCGAAAGCAUGGGGAGCGAACAGGAUUAGAUACCCUGGUAGUCCAUGCCGUAAACGUUGGGCACUAGGUGUGGGGGGCAUUCCACGUUCUCCGCGCCGUAGCUAACGCAUUAAGUGCCCCGCCUGGG